RNAcentral lists this non-coding RNA (93 nucleotides) under Peptoniphilus sp. ING2-D1G. RNAcentral describes it as "SAM riboswitch aptamer (S box leader)". It matches the Rfam family "SAM riboswitch aptamer (S box leader)". Rfam says of the family: The SAM riboswitch is found upstream of a number of genes which code for proteins involved in methionine or cysteine biosynthesis in Gram-positive bacteria. RNAcentral also lists the same sequence under 1 other name. Lineage: Bacteria; Bacillati; Bacillota; Tissierellia; Tissierellales; Peptoniphilaceae. The record is from Rfam by way of RNAcentral.
AUCUUAUCGAGAGAGGUGGAGGGACUGGCCCUAUGAAACCCGGCAACCUGCAAGGCAAGGUGCUAAUUCCUGGGUGUAAACUGCAGAUAAGAG